RNAcentral lists this ribosomal RNA (460 nucleotides) under uncultured bacterium. RNAcentral's name for it is "partial 16S ribosomal RNA". It matches the Rfam family "Bacterial small subunit ribosomal RNA", at positions 338 to 795 of the family's 1533-position model. The record is from RNAcentral.
CCUACGGUAGGCAGCAGUGAGGAAUAUUGGUCAAUGUGCGCGAGCCUGAACCAGCCAAGUAGCGUGAAGGAUGACUGCCCUACGGGUUUUAAACUUCUUUUAUAAAGGAAUACAGUGAGGCACGUGUGCCUUUUUGUAUGUACUUUAUGAAUAAGGAUCGGCUCACUCCGUGCCAGCAGCCGCGGUAAUACGGAGGAUCCAAGCGUUAUCCGGAUUUAUUGGGUUUAAAGGGAGCGUAGAUGGGUUGUUAAGUCAGUUGUGAAAGUUUGCAGUUCAACCUUAAAAUUGCAAUUGAUACUGGCAGCCUUGAGGACAGUUGAGGUAGGCGGAAUUCGUGGUGUAGCGGUGAAAUGCUUAGAUAUCACGAAGAACUCCGAUUGCGAAGGCAGCCUACUAAACUGCCACUGACAUUGAUGCUCGAAAGUGUGGGUAUCAAACAGGAUUAGAUACCCGGGUAGUC